GAGACUCUGUGCGCGUGCAUAUCAAUAAGCGGAGGAAAAGAAACUAACAAGGAUUCCCCUAGUAACGGCGAGUGAAGCGGGAAGAGCUCAAAUUUGAAAUCUUCAAGGUUCUACCUUGACGAAUUGUAGUUUAUAGAAGUGUUUUCUGUUAGUGGAGUGGCAAAAGUUCUUUGGAAUAGGACAUCAUAGAGGGUGAGAAUCCCGUAUUUGGUCAUUCCUCCUAGCGUUGUGAUACACUUUCAACGAGUCGGAUUGUUUGGGAAUGCAGUCCAAAAUGGGUGGUAAAUUUCAUCUAAAGCUAAAUAUUGGCGAGAGACCGAUAGCGAACAAGUACCGUGAGGGAAAGAUGAAAAGAACUUUGAAAAGAGAGUUAAACAGUACGUGAAAUUGUCAAAAGGGAAGCGUUUGACACCAGUGUUGUUUUCUCGAAAAUCAAUUAAAAAUGGCUGGAUUUUGUGUUGUAUUGACCUUAAUCAGCUUUCUUCACUUUUUUCCUAUCUUUUUUAAUGCACUUUUCGUUUAACAAGUCAACAUCAGUUUCUUUUGCUGUAAAAGAGUCAUUGGAAGGUGGCUUUCUUUUCGGAGAAAGUGUUUAUAGCCUUUGACUUCUACAAUCGGAGAGAUUGAGGUCUGCAGCGUAGAUCCUUCGGGGUUAGAUACAUUUGUGCUAAGUUAUAGCCUUUCAUAGACAACUUGUUGACUAUGAUCAGUCAUGUAGCUUACUCGCUUAUGCUAUUUUACCUACGCUUAGGAUGUUGAUCUGUAGUGCGUGCGC
RNAcentral lists this ribosomal RNA (775 nucleotides) under uncultured Neocallimastigales. Its description in RNAcentral is "partial large subunit ribosomal RNA". It matches the Rfam family "Eukaryotic large subunit ribosomal RNA", at positions 23 to 646 of the family's 3401-position model. Lineage: Eukaryota; Fungi; Neocallimastigomycota; Neocallimastigomycetes; Neocallimastigales. The record is from RNAcentral.